RNAcentral lists this unclassified non-coding RNA (525 nucleotides) under uncultured Glomeromycotina. Its description in RNAcentral is "bacterial SSU rRNA". It matches the Rfam family "Eukaryotic small subunit ribosomal RNA", at positions 591 to 1114 of the family's 1831-position model. The record is from RNAcentral. Lineage: Eukaryota; Fungi; Glomeromycota.
CCAAUAGCGUAUAUUAAGGUUGCUGCGGUUAAAAAGCUCGUAGUUGAAUUUCGGAAUUGAUGCAUCGGUCGUGCCUUAAGGGGCAUGAACUGGUGUAGCCAAUUUCUCACCUUCUGGUGAAUUGUGAUGUUCUUAAUGGGUGUCUCAAUGAACUAGAAUUUUUUACUUUGAAAAAAUUAGAGUGUUUAAAGCAGGCAUUAAUUUGCUUGAAUACAUUAGCAUGGAAUAAUGAAAUAGACAGUGGUUCCGUUUUGUUGGUUUCUAGGAUCACGUAAUGAUUAAUAGGGACAGUUGGGGGCAUUAGUAUUCAAUUGUCAGAGGUGAAAUUCUUGGAUUUAUUGAAGACUAACUAUUGCGAAAGCAUUUGCCAAGGAUGUUUUCAUUAAUCAAGAACGAAAGUUAGGGGAUCAAAGACGAUUAAGUACGUCGUAGUCCUAACCAUAAACUAUACCGACUAGGAAUCAGACGAUGUUAAUUUUUUAAUGACUCGUUUGGUACCUUACGGGAAACCAAGUGUUUGGGUUC